AUUGAACGCUGGCGGCAGGCCUAACACAUGCAAGUCGAACGGUAGCACAGAAGAGCUUCCUCCUGGGGUCGCGAGUGGCGGACGGGUGAGUAAUGUCUGGGAAACCGCCCGAUGGAGGGGGAUAUCUACUGGAAACGGUAGCUAAUACCGCAUAAUGUCGCAAGACCAAAGUGGGGGACCUUCGGGCCUCACACCAUCGGAUGUGCCCAGAUGGGAUUGGCUAGUAGGUGGGGUAAUGGCUCACCUAGGCGACGAUCCCUAGCUGGUCUGAGAGGAUGACAAGCCACACUGGACCUGAGACACGGUCCGGACUCCUACGGGAGGCGGCAGUGGGGAAUAUUGCACAAUGGGCGCAAGCCUGAUGCAGCCAUGCCGCGUGUAUGAAGAAGGCCUUCGGGUUGUAAAGUACUUUCAGCGGGGAGGAAGGCGGUGAGGUUAAUAACCUUGCCGAUUGACGUUACCCGCAGAAGAAGCACCGGCUAACUCCGUGCCAGCCGCCGCAGUAA
This 506-nucleotide ribosomal RNA is filed under the name uncultured bacterium. Its description in RNAcentral is "partial 16S ribosomal RNA". It matches the Rfam family "Bacterial small subunit ribosomal RNA", at positions 30 to 523 of the family's 1533-position model. The record is from RNAcentral.